UACGUAGGGUGCGAGCGUUAAUCGGAAUUACUGGGCGUAGAGCGUGCGCAGGCGGUUUUGUAAGCCAGAUGUGAAAUCCCCGGGCUUAACCUGGGAACUGCAUUUGGGACUGCAAGGCUUGAGUGCGGCAGAGGAGACUGGAAUUCCUGGUGUAGCAGUGAAAUGCGUAGAUAUCAGGAGGAAUACCGAUGGCGAAGGCAGGUCUCUGGGCUGACACUGACGCUCAUGCACGAAAGCGUGGGGAGCAAACAGG
This 253-nucleotide ribosomal RNA is filed under the name uncultured bacterium. Its description in RNAcentral is "partial 16S ribosomal RNA". It matches the Rfam family "Bacterial small subunit ribosomal RNA", at positions 524 to 776 of the family's 1533-position model. The record is from RNAcentral.